This 662-nucleotide ribosomal RNA is filed under the name Asemonea sichuanensis. RNAcentral describes it as "eukaryotic LSU rRNA". The stretch from base 437 to 662 matches the Rfam family "Eukaryotic large subunit ribosomal RNA", at positions 665 to 862 of the family's 3401-position model. Lineage: Eukaryota; Metazoa; Arthropoda; Arachnida; Araneae; Salticidae. The record is from RNAcentral.
GGCGCGGCGGACGCGGUGGUCUNAAAAUCGGAAGGGCUUCCCGGGACCGGGGCCGUUCGACCGCGCGUCUUCCGUCGCUCCCGACGCAUUUGUCUCUCGUCCGAAGGACGCUGCAGCCGGUCGGGAACGGCAAGCGUGACGGCCUGAAGGGCGGAAGAUGGCAGGUGGCCGGUGGCGUGCCUCGUGCGCGUCGCCGGUUGUUAGCCGUUCCGUCGGUGGCUCGUCUCCCGACCGUGGUGUCACUAGGCCAGUACGGCCUUAACGUCUCCUCCCCAGGACGCGGGACGGACCGUCGCAGGCGAAGUCCGCUGUUCCGUCGCACACCUUCGGUGUGGGCGGUCGAACGGACGGCGUCGUUGGCGGCGGCGGGCCCGUGGGAGGUCGGAGGCUCGCAGCGAGUAGGUCGGUCACCCACCCGACCCGUCUUGAAACACGGACCAAGGAGUCUAACAUGUGCGCGAGUCAAUGGGUCUUGAAUAGGCCCAGGGGCGCAAUGAAAGCAAAGGCCGGCACGCGUCGGCCGAGUUGGGAUCGACUCGGUUUCCGAGUCGCGCACCAACGACCCGUCCUAUCCGGCUCGCCGGUCGGGCGGAGUGUGAGCGUACACGUUGGGACCCGAAAGAUGGUGAACUAUGCCCGGACAGGACGAGGCCAGAGGAAAC